UUCGUUAGCUCGGGCGUUAUAUUUGCUUUUGGCUCGUGGGACUUAAGUAAAACAUGAAAAAACUUUACCUCCAUGUUGAAGGCGUUCACUGCAUCCAUAACGACUGGUUAAUGUUGAAAGCCGACUGACUAGUCUUUGUAUUUGAUUACUUUACCUUGACCAUAACCACGCGCAGCUUCACCUAUCUACAGCAUAACAACCACGCGCAUCGGGAAGCUUUAUUUUCCUUUCGACGUGGACUAACCAAAGCUCAGCUAAGCUAGAAACUGCUGCUAGCUUAACGGUUCCACCCUGUAGACAGCGCCUGUGAUGUCACGAGCAGAUUUUUGUGAAUGAGACAGUAACACGUUCCCCCUCAGAUGGCUGGAAUGGAGAACUCUACCAGCGGGAUUAUAUAUGAAUACUAUUAUGAUUACCUGGAUCCCGUGAUUGUGGAUGAGAGAAAGUUAAAGUACUAUAAAUAUUCCGUUGUUAUAAUAUUUUGGGUAGUCGUCAUUACCUUUGUGGCAUGUCUUUUUCUCACUUUGAAUCUACUGUCUCGCAGUGGAAACCUACCAAAGAAUCACACGUCAACUAAUUCGCUAGAGACUCGAUCUUUAUGAGAACAUAGUGAAAAACGGAGGCGAUGGACUCAAAUUCAAAAUGUGGUGAUAAUGUGCAACAGCACUAAUGACAUUUAAAAUGAGAAGAAGUGACCAUCAUUCCUAACAUCUCGCAAGAUCACUGCAAAGUUCAAGGCUUCCUUAACCAUUAAAAAAAU
Molecule: long non-coding RNA, 760 nt
Organism: Neolamprologus brichardi
Lineage: Eukaryota; Metazoa; Chordata; Actinopteri; Cichliformes; Cichlidae
Source: RefSeq, a predicted model, not a curated record